This 318-nucleotide unclassified non-coding RNA is filed under the name fungal sp. Its description in RNAcentral is "partial internal transcribed spacer region". The stretch from base 1 to 46 matches the Rfam family "Eukaryotic small subunit ribosomal RNA", at positions 1786 to 1831 of the family's 1831-position model. The record is from RNAcentral. Lineage: Eukaryota; Fungi.
AAGUCGUAACAAGGUUUCCGUAGGUGAACCUGCGGAAGGAUCAUUAGAAAAUUUUGGAUUUUUUUCAAAUCCUUUACCCACCUGUGCACUGUUUAAAUGUCUAUACUUUCCUGGUUCUGUAAGCUUGAAGAUUAAUCUGAAAGCUUUUUGAUGUGGUUCAUGAAUUUGUCUGAAGAUUAAUUCAGAUUGAUGUUGAACUGCAAUCAGACCAGGGAAGUUUUUCAAACUCUAAUAUUUUUACCUAGUCUGAGAAAAUAUCCACUUGGAUACUUUGAGAAUUUUGAAAUACAACUUUCAACAAUGGAUCUCUUGGCUCUC